GCCUGUUUAACAAAAACAUCGCCUUUUGAGUUAAAUAGAAGGUCUAGCCUGCCCACUGUAAAUGAAGGGCCGCAGUAUAUUGACUGUGCAAAGGUAGCAUAAUCAUUAGUCUUUUGAUUGGAGGCUGGUAUGAAUGGUUGGAUGAGGUAAAAGCUGUCUGGUUUAAGUAAAAUAGAAUUUAGCUUUUCAGUCAAAAGGCUGAAAUUUUGUUAGAGGACGAGAAGACCCUAUAGAUCUUUAUAGGACUAUUUAGUAUACUAAGAUGAGUUAGGAUUCUAUAUGAAUUUUAUUUGGUUGGGGUGACAAGGAAAUAUAUGAACUUUCUUUAACUUAACAUUUAUGAAUGAGUAAGGGGUCCAAUAAGAGUGAUCGAAAGAGUAAGUUACCUUAGGGAUAACAGCAUAAUCUUCUUGGAGAGUUCUAAUCGAUAAGGGGGGUUGUGACCUCGAUGUUGGACUAAGAUUUAAUUCCGGUGAAGCAGCUGGGAGUAAUGGUCUGUUCGACCAAUAAUAUCUUACAUGAUCUGAGUUCAAACCGGAGCUCC
RNAcentral lists this ribosomal RNA (544 nucleotides) under Nonnullidens sp. 9 CSC-2019. RNAcentral describes it as "partial large subunit ribosomal RNA". It matches the Rfam family "Bacterial large subunit ribosomal RNA", at positions 1798 to 2627 of the family's 2925-position model. The record is from RNAcentral. Lineage: Eukaryota; Metazoa; Arthropoda; Insecta; Ephemeroptera; Leptophlebiidae.